CCUGGAAAGGCCGGCGAUACAGGGUGAUAGCCCCGUACACGAAAACAACCUUGAUGUGAAAUCGAGUAGGGCGGGACACGUGACAUCCUGUCUGAAUAUGGGGGGACCAUCCUCCAAGGCUAAAUACUCCUGACUGACCGAUAGUGAACCAGUACCGUGAGGGAAAGGCGAAAAGAACCCCUGUGAGGGGAGUGAAAUAGAACCUGAAACCGUGUACGUACAAGCAGUGGGAGCCCUUCGGGGUGACUGCGUACCUUUUGUAUAAUGGGUCAGCGACUUACAUUUUGUAGCGAGGUUAACCGUAUAGGGGAGCCGUAGGGAAACCGAGUCUUAACUGGGCGUCUAGUUGCAAGGUGUAGACCCGAAACCGGGUGAUCUAGCCAUGGGCAGGUUGAAGGUUGAGUAACAUCAACUGGAGGACCGAACCCACUAACGUUGCAAAGUUAGGGGAUGACCUGUGGCUGGGGGUGAAAGGCCAAUCAAACUCGGAGAUAGCUGGUUCUCCCCGAAAGCUAUUUAGGUAGCGCCUCGGACGAAUACUACUGGGGGUAGAGCACUGUUUGGGCUAGGGGGUCAUCCCGACUUACCAACCCCAUGCA
Molecule: ribosomal RNA, 599 nt
Filed under: Aeromonas dhakensis
Lineage: Bacteria; Pseudomonadati; Pseudomonadota; Gammaproteobacteria; Aeromonadales; Aeromonadaceae
Description: partial 23S ribosomal RNA
Rfam family: Bacterial large subunit ribosomal RNA
Source: RNAcentral